This 440-nucleotide ribosomal RNA is filed under the name uncultured bacterium. RNAcentral's name for it is "partial 16S ribosomal RNA". It matches the Rfam family "Bacterial small subunit ribosomal RNA", at positions 338 to 795 of the family's 1533-position model. The record is from RNAcentral.
CCUACGGGUGGCAGCAGUGGGGAAUAUUGCACAAUGGGGGAAACCCUGAUGCAGCGACGCCGCGUGAAUGAAGAAGUAUUUCGGUAUGUAAACCUCUAUCAGCAGGGAAGAAAAUGACGGUACCUGACUCAGAAGCCCCGGCUAACUACGUGCCAGCAGCCGCGGUAAUACGUAGGGGGCAAGCGUUAUCCGGAUUUACUGGGUGUAAAGGGAGCGUAGGCGGUUUGGCAAGUCAGAUGUGAAAGCCCGGGGCUCAACUCCGGGACUGCAUUUGAAACUGUCGAACUGGAGUGCAGGAGAGGUAAGUGGAAUUCCUAGUGUAGCGGUGAAAUGCGUAGAUAUUAGGAGGAACAGCAGUGGCGAAGGCGGCUAACUGGACCGUAACUGACACUGAGGAGCGAAAGCGUGGGUAGCAAACAGGAUUAGAUACCCCUGUAGUC